GUGCCCCCAGUGCUGCUCAGGGCAGCCGGGCUGUUCCCCAGCAGCCGGUGCCAUGGGCUGGGAGGAUGCUGGGGGGGUUGUGCUGCCAUGCUGCUCCCCCCAAGCUUGGUGCCACUGCACAGGUCCAGCACGGCAGCGCCAAGCCAGCCCCGAGGCCAGACCCCAUGCUGCACCCCAUGGGGGUCUCGCUGCCCACCCAGCACGUGCGCAAGGAGCCCCCCGAGCACCCACUGGCUCCGUGCAUGGCAAAGCCCAUCCUGGCCACGAGCACUGCCUGGAGGGGGGCUGGGGGUGGGCUCUGCCUGGGGAAACUGAGGCAUCGGGGGGGGGGGAGGCUCAGCCUGGAGCCGCGGCGCAGCCCCCCCGGCGCUCUGCCUGCCCCCGCUCCCGUGGCUCCCUGCUGCUCCCCCGGCCCUGCGCGCUGCAGCUGGGGGUCCCGGCCGGCAUUAACCCACCCCUCUCUGGCUGCUCCAAGUCCCCCAGAGGACCUCCCCCACAGGCCCCAAGAGCACGCAUAACCCGGCCCGCCUCAGCAACGUCCCCAGCAGCAUCCUCCGGAAAAACUCCCCCGCCACCCGCAACGGGGGCCCCGAGGCCGACGCGCAGAUCCUGGAGCUCAACCAGCAGCUGAUGGAUCUGAAGCUGACAGUGGACGGGCUGGAGAAGGAGCGGGAUUUCUACUUCAGCAAGCUGCGGGACAUCGAGCUGAUCUGCCAGGAGCACGAGAACGAGAACAGCCCCAUCAUCACCGGCAUCGUCAGCGUCCUCUACGCCACGGAGGUGAGCACGGAGCACGCGUUGCCUGUCCGGCUGCUGGCACACCCAGCCCCGGAGCUCUCUGGGCUUUCCCUGGGCCAAAAUCCCCCUUCCCCAGCGUCCAGCCUC
This 885-nucleotide long non-coding RNA is filed under the name Anas platyrhynchos platyrhynchos (common mallard). RNAcentral's name for it is "lncRNA (ENSAPLG00000028245.1)". Lineage: Eukaryota; Metazoa; Chordata; Aves; Anseriformes; Anatidae. The record is from RNAcentral.